RNAcentral lists this small nuclear RNA (19 nucleotides) under Arabidopsis thaliana (thale cress). RNAcentral's name for it is "snRNA_19227". Lineage: Eukaryota; Viridiplantae; Streptophyta; Magnoliopsida; Brassicales; Brassicaceae. The record is from RNAcentral.
GCCAUUAGGUGUAGGCGCU